UCCAUUACAAAGAUGACCAUCAUUCAUUUGAUUAGAAAACUUUGACAUGAGAUCUUGGUUAUGUAUAGCUUUUAUUUAAAGAACGCGAGUGGAUCUAACGCGCUUAACAUAUUUUCUCUCUAGACAACAGCUUCGUUAAUCUCGUUUGGACCUCUCCGGUCACAGGCGCUCAUCGUCGAUACUGCAAUGGUCCCCCCCCUUCUUUUCCUUUGUGUUUGCUCUUCAUGAUGGAUAUGGUUGCGAAGUGAGGCUUGAAGACUCGACGGCUCCUUCUCCGGUGGUGCUGUGGCGUGGUUCAACCGACGCGGCGAGACGGUGCUGUGGUGGAUAUAACGGCGAGCGAACGAGAAGCUUUCCAGAUGUUCCGGAGCUGCUUGAGGGCGCGGCGAACGAGAUGUGAGAGGAACUCUGGCAGCUGGAAUAGAUGCUGCGGUGAAGUUGCGGAUGUCGUCGCGGCGGCUAGGUGGGUUGCACUACAAGCUAAGGAAGUAUCGUGGUGGUCGUCUCCGACCUAUGCAGCUGGACCCGUAGACCAAUGCCUCUUAUUGACUAACAUAGGCACGGGCCUGUCUGUCUCUGGUUCCUUGGCCGGAUUGAAGGUUCGGUUGGUAUAAUCAGACGCCGGAGAUUUCGAGUGGGGAUCAGACCUCGCCGAUUAGAUUUGGAAGCUGAGGUCGGCUUUCGGCUGACAUUGACGAUCUUGCGAUGUGCCCGCAAAGCUCAAAUCUUAUAGCCGUCGGUGAGGAUGUCGAUCAGCAAAAGAAACCUUUCAACUUUUUCUUCAAAUUUUAUCUCUCUUCUCCGACCAGCCUCAUCUCGACGUCCGGUUUAGUUUGAUUAAUUUUACUUCGGUUAUCAUUUUAUAAACCAGUUCCAAUUUCCGGUUUGGGCGAUAUUUAAUAUAAUAUUAUUAUAAAAAAAAAAACUUUGACAUGAGAUUCGUGCUGCCCUAGCUAAUGAAUCUGCAUUACUAUUUGCGCUCCCAUUAAUCUGCAUAUAAGAGAACUCGGUAUCAGUGGAUAUACUGAUAAUAUCAUUAAAAUACAUACCUGUUAGUAUAUUUUUGCAUCCUGUGUCAUAUAAUGUCCAU
Eutrema salsugineum is the source of this 1090-nucleotide long non-coding RNA. RefSeq lists it as uncharacterized. The transcript is spliced from 3 exons. The record is from RefSeq and is a predicted model, not a curated record. Lineage: Eukaryota; Viridiplantae; Streptophyta; Magnoliopsida; Brassicales; Brassicaceae.